UUUCCGUAGGUGAACCUGCGGAAGGAUCAUUAAUGUAUAACCGAGGUGCGAGGGCUGUCGCUUAUCCGACAGGUCCUGCACGCUCGAGUGCCCUCACAAACAUACAUCUUACUCCUAAGUGCACCUGCGCGUGGGUCCCCCGCUAGCUAGUUCCGAGGGGCGCUCACGAUUUCACACAAACUUUGUAUGCAGUGUAGUAUGUGUUUUUAGUUGUUGCGAUCUGGCAAUCAAUACCAUUUUUAACAACGGAUCGCUUGGCUCUCGCAUCGAUGAAGACAC
Molecule: unclassified non-coding RNA, 279 nt
Filed under: plant metagenome
Description: partial contains small subunit ribosomal RNA, internal transcribed spacer 1, and 5.8S ribosomal RNA
Source: RNAcentral